RNAcentral lists this ribosomal RNA (526 nucleotides) under Fusarium thapsinum. Its description in RNAcentral is "eukaryotic LSU rRNA". The stretch from base 180 to 333 matches the Rfam family "5.8S ribosomal RNA". The record is from RNAcentral. Lineage: Eukaryota; Fungi; Ascomycota; Sordariomycetes; Hypocreales; Nectriaceae.
UUCCGUAGGUGAACCUGCGGAGGGAUCAUUACCGAGUUUACAACUCCCAAACCCCUGUGAACAUACCAAUUGUUGCCUCGGCGGAUCAGCCCGCUCCCGGUAAAACGGGACGGCCCGCCAGAGGACCCCUAAACUCUGUUUCUAUAUGUAACUUCUGAGUAAAACCAUAAAUAAAUCAAAACUUUCAACAACGGAUCUCUUGGUUCUGGCAUCGAUGAAGAACGCAGCAAAAUGCGAUAAGUAAUGUGAAUUGCAGAAUUCAGUGAAUCAUCGAAUCUUUGAACGCACAUUGCGCCCGCCAGUAUUCUGGCGGGCAUGCCUGUUCGAGCGUCAUUUCAACCCUCAAGCCCCCGGGUUUGGUGUUGGGGAUCGGCGAGCCUCACGGCAAGCCGGCCCCGAAAUACAGUGGCGGUCUCGCUGCAGCUUCCAUUGCGUAGUAGUAAAACCCUCGCAACUGGUACGCGGCGCGGCCAAGCCGUUAAACCCCCAACUUCUGAAUGUGACCUCGGAUCAGGUACGAAUCCCG